UUUUUGUUUUUUGUUUUUGUUUUUUUUAAGCAAAAAUGUUGUUCCUUGAAAAAAGUGGCAAGUUCUGCUCCUAACUCCAAUGACAGCUCCAUUGCUUUUCCCCUGGAAAACCAACACACUUUGGUAUGCAGCAGGAGCAUUUUAUGUUCUCUGCACUUUCCAUUUCACUGCAUGGAAUAUUAAAAAGAGGUGUACUCAAAGUCAAGAUUUAAGACAUUUAAUACUUUUUACUGCUUCAUCAAGGACAUCCUUAAGUGAAACAGGUGCUUUUUUGGCAGCCAGUACAUGAGGUAAAGAAUGCACUGACCACCAGAGUAGUUUGCACCAAGGUGCCACAUUUCCGCCCACAUUGCUUUUGCUUCAUCAGUGCACAUGCUCACACCAUAAAAAUAAAUAAAUAAAAAUGGCAGAAAGGCAAAUGACAUCUUGGUGUUCUUGUGAAAAAAGGUUUGACAUCAUAUAUGCCUGAAAGGGUUUCAGAUUCCCCACAGAUCCAUGGACCACACUUUGAGAACCUCCAUCCUAUGAUACCUUCUAGUUCUGAGAAUCCAUGACUCUUCCCUAACACCAGAUCUCCUAGAUGACUUUUUCUAAAGCUAUCCUCAAACUGGUGCCACAAAAGAGAGAAGAGUAGCCCCAAUAUCCCUGUCGUGCUUCAGUCCACUUAGAUUCUGAAUCAAGAGAUGUGAAGUAUGGCUGGGGGUGGGCAGGAGGGCAUGUGAGCAUCCAGUUGAGUCCACUGGACAGCAUCUUGUGUCAUGCUGGGUGGUAGAUAAUGAAGGAAGUGACCUAUGUCAGGGUUCCCACAGGGUGUCUAAGGCCUUAGAUGCUUCUAAGUCCUUUCUGGGCAGAGUGUUCAGGAAACAACCUCCUUUCUGCAGGGCUGUUUGUCUCUUUCCCCAAUUAAUUCUUCCUGACAUCUAACAUUAGAUGUGUAAGCAAUGAUAUCUGGUCUAGGUCAGCCACUCCAUAACUAUUUAUAAUCCUGCAGGAAAUCAUUACUCUUUUCAUUUCAAGAUUAACUGAUUAAAAAAAAACUAAUUAUGGCAGGUCAUAAAAACAAAUUUCAAAGGGUGCUUUGGGGACAGAGUGACCUGGUAAAUAAUUAUUUUCUCUUGUACCUAGCUCUCUAACCACACAAAGACUUUAUCACUGUCUUCCUGAUGAGCGGCUUUUAAGAACUAGCUGGGAUUCAGGGAAUUGGGGAAGUGGGAUAGAGAUGAGGUUUGCAUCAAGGCACAAGGUUUUUAGGGUAUUAAAAAAUCUAAAUGUGUCCUAUGAGGACAGGCAAUAUGGCUGCAGAGCACUGGGGGAUAUUUAGAAGUCUGCAAAGAAUCUCUGAAAUAAAUGCUAGGGUAGAGACUCUUUGGGUUUCAUAUCAGGUUGAAAUUGAUGAGAUUUCACCACAGUAAAUACAAUUGAUCUCAGCCCUCCUCCUCUGGAGCCAUCAGGGGGCAUCCUCUGUGACCUUGAGGAUUUUGUCAAAUUGGUAAAAAUGAGGUAAGAUGUUCUCUCAAAGGGAACUGUAUAACAAGUCACUGUGCUGGCUGAGAAUUUCUAUGUCUUCAUGCUCCCUGACAAUUAGUGUCUUUUCUGUUUAACAAACAUUACUGUUUUGACAUCUACCCUGUGCCUAACUCUGAGAAAGGCAUUGGAAAGAAUAUAAAAAUUAUUAAUAUAAAAUCCUUUAUCUCUAAUUUUUUGAAGGAAAUAAGAAUUAUGCACAAAAGUCUAAAAAAACAAAUGAAAAGCAUGGGUCUUCCACUUCCUAACUGUGUAACUGUAUAAACAAGUUGUAUAGGCUUUCUGAACUUCAGAUUUCUUGUCUGUAACAUAGGGAUAACCCUAGUACAUCCCUUGUGGGGUUAUUUUGGACAUUAAAUGAAAAAACAUGUGUAAAGAGCCUUCUACAGAGCCUGAACUUAGCAUUCCAAGUAUCUGAGUCCAUUGUAACUAUCAUUUUUGAGUGACUUUCCCUCCUAACAAUAACUAGGGAGCAUUAAUCCCUUUACAAAUGAUGGAAUCCGAGGCUUAGGAAAAUAAAAUAAUUCACUAUUCCAUGAUACCCUUUGGAUGAGAAUCAUUGCAAAAGAGUAGAGAAAGGGACAGGCAUUGAAAAGAUAAGGGUCAUUAAUAGUUGUGGUAUCCUGUCUCCAAAAUGGUGUUCUGGGGAACCGUCAUAUUUGUAUCCUUGUAUAGCCCCCUCACUCAGUAUUGCAGGCUGGCCCUGCAAUAAAUGUGGCAUCAGUAAUGAUACAUGAUGUCAGAUGUGGCUUAAAGGAGUCUAGUAGCUUCCACUCGGCUCCUUUGAGAUGCUUGCUCUUAAGAUGCUCCACCUUGGAGCUCAGCUACCAUGCUGCGAGGUGCCGAAACCUAAGCCGCUACCUCAGCUAAGCUCACAGCCAACAACCAGCACCAAGAUGAUAGUCCUGUGCAUGCACCACUUUGGACUUUAUCCAAAGCCAAGUCUCAAGAUGACUACAGACCAGAUGAUAUUCGACUACAACUGCUUUUGAGAAAUCCAAGUGAGAACUGCCCAGACGAGAUGGGGUCCCAUUUCACCUAAAAUGUGGAAAGAUACAAGGGAAUCUUUCUCUCAACUUAAGAAUAAGAACUAGAUGAUCUAAACAAUCAUAACUUUUCUGAAGCAUGUCAGAAAGCUAAAGUCACAAAACAACUAGGUUAACUCAAAUCAAAAGGUCAUCAAGCCCCUCCAAGAAGAGAUGAGACCUGUGAACUGUUGCAUUUGUGGCAGAGCGUAGGAGUCAGAGGGGACCUCCAUAAUGGCAGAUGGCAGGUAGGGACCCACUUGUCAUUCACUAUAUGCUAAAACUAUUUUAAAUUUUAAAGGGACUUGGACGGGGAAGCAGAUGACCUGUUUUGUAGACAGAUGCUGAUCACAGCUCAGUGACCUUGGGAAGUUCCCCACAUUUUGGCACCAAUCUGGUUGAGGCUGCUGGCUGCCUGUGGCAGACAUUGCAAUGAUGACACUGGGCACUUCUCAAAGUGCAUGGAGCAGGAAGGCCAUUGAGACAGGAAGGCCAGGGCACUCAAGGAUGGGCAGUGGCUUUGACACACUCCACAGCUGGCAGACAGCAAAGGUUCUGAACACUUCCUGCCUCUCCUGUUCAUUGAUUAAUGUGCACAGCUUUACACAAAUCACACAUCUCCCCUGUGCUUUUGUGCCUCCUUUUACAAGGUUCAGAAAACUAAUACAGACACCCUUACCACACUCCUUCCCACCACUACAUGCACACACACUCAUUUGCAAACACUGUGGUGAGGAAGAGCCAGGCAAAGUGACAGAACCACUUUACCAGUAAAAUGACCACUGAUACCAAAUGACUUGACAGGUUAAAGGAUGCAGAGACAAUAAAUUGUCUUAAUGAAUCUCUAAGUGACCAAAAGAAACUGGACACCAAAGCCCUGAGAGAAGUAAAAAUGUUUUGUUUUGUUUUGCAAAAUAUCAUCUAUAAAGAAUCUAUUAUGUACCAGGAACUUUGCACAUUUUUUAACGUUCUUUAUCUCCAAUUCAUACAAAACUAAAAGUUAGAUGUUACUGUGCCAUUUUGCACAUGGGAAAGCCAAGGUCGAGUACAGAGUAGUGAUUAUGUCAUAGGCUGUGCAGUCAGACUACGUGGGCUUGGUUCCCAGCUCUGCUACUGACUGACCAUGUGACUGUGGACGAGUCUCUGUGCCUCAGUCAUUCCUUCUAUGAAAUGGGGAUAAUAAUGGUACUUUUAGUAAAUGAGAGAGUAAGAGUAAGACAUGAGGCAAUGUGCCUAGCAUACAGUAAGCCCUUAAUGAACAUGACUUGUCAUUAUAAGUUACUUUACCCAAACCACACAAUGAGAAAGAGUCUGACUCCAAAGUUGCAUUCUUUCCAAAGAAAUAUUUGUGGUUAUGAAAAUUGUUUUUGUGAAAUAUUAAUAUAUUUAAAUAACCUAAGUUAAACAGAACUAGUAUGAAAUCAGACAGACCUCCCUCACUUGCCACGAUCCCCUUGAGGCAGCAUAGCCAGGA
RNAcentral lists this long non-coding RNA (4023 nucleotides) under Canis lupus familiaris (dog). RNAcentral's name for it is "lncRNA (ENSCAFG00000054714.1)". Lineage: Eukaryota; Metazoa; Chordata; Mammalia; Carnivora; Canidae. The record is from RNAcentral.